GGGAUCCUAGAAGCUUCCCAACAUGAGAGAGGAGGGAGGGGUGCAGGGCUCUGGAAGAGGCCUAGAUAUGCACUUGAAGGUGCUAGCAAGACGUCUCAGGAGGUUUUUCAAGACAGAGUCUCUCUGCACAGCCCUGGCUAUCUUGGAACUCACUCUGUAGACUAGGCUGUCCUUGAACUCACAGAGAUCCACCUCAGAAAGCC
This is a long non-coding RNA of Acomys russatus (golden spiny mouse), 203 nucleotides long. RefSeq lists it as uncharacterized. The record is from RefSeq and is a predicted model, not a curated record. The transcript is spliced from 2 exons. Lineage: Eukaryota; Metazoa; Chordata; Mammalia; Rodentia; Muridae.